Molecule: ribosomal RNA, 323 nt
Filed under: uncultured eukaryote
Lineage: Eukaryota
Description: partial 18S ribosomal RNA
Rfam family: Eukaryotic small subunit ribosomal RNA
Source: RNAcentral
CCCUUAGACACUCUAGGCGGCACGCGCGCUACAAUGGGUGGAAGAACGUGUUACUGCCUCCGAAAGGAGGGGUGAAUCACGAAUUCUUGCCCGUGAAUGGGAUAGUUUGUUGCAAUUUUCGGACUUGAACUAGGAAUCCCUUGUAAACAUGCUCAAGAAUAGCGUGUUGAAUACGUCCCUGCCGUUUGUACACACCGCCCGUCGCUCCUACCGAUUGAGUGGUCCGGUGAGGCUUUGGGAUCUGAGCGGAAAGAGCGUUUCGCUGUUUCUGCCCGGAAAACUCAGUCGAACCUUAUCAUUUAGAGGAAGGAGAAGUCGUAACA